This 463-nucleotide ribosomal RNA is filed under the name uncultured bacterium. RNAcentral's name for it is "bacterial SSU rRNA". It matches the Rfam family "Bacterial small subunit ribosomal RNA", at positions 78 to 537 of the family's 1533-position model. The record is from RNAcentral.
CAAUACAUGNUCCCCGAGCGGCGAACGGGUGAGUAAUGCUUCGGAAUCUGCCCAGUAGCGGGGAAUAACUAACCGAAAGGUUAGCUAAUGCCGCAUACGACCUAAGGGUGAAAGCGGGGGAUCGCAAGACCUCGCACUAUUGGAUGAGCCGAAGUCGGAUUAGCUAGUUGGUGAGGUAACGGCUCACCAAGGCGACAAUCCGUAGCUGGUCUGAGAGGACGACCAGCCACACUGGGACUGAGACACGGCCCAGACUCCUACGGGAGGCAGCAGUGGGGAAUAUUGGACAAUGGGGGAAACCCUGAUCCAGCGACGCCGCGUGUGUGAAGAAGGCCUGCGGGUUGUAAAGCACUUUUAGUGGGGACAAAAAGCCAUGGACUAAUACUCUGUGGUCUUGAUUUAACCCAAAGAAAAAGCACCGGCUAACUCUGUGCCAGCAGCCGCGGUAAUACAGAGGGUGCGA